This 256-nucleotide ribosomal RNA is filed under the name uncultured bacterium. Its description in RNAcentral is "partial 16S ribosomal RNA". It matches the Rfam family "Bacterial small subunit ribosomal RNA", at positions 28 to 274 of the family's 1533-position model. The record is from RNAcentral.
GACGAACGCUGGCGGCGUGCCUAAUACAUGCAAGUCGAGCGAAUUUAUGGGAGCUUGCUCCCGUAAAUUAGCGGCGGACGGGUGAGUAACACGUGGGCAACCUGCCUAUAAGACUGGGAUAACUUCGGGAAACCGAGCUAAUACCGGAUAAUUCCUUUCCUCACAUGGGGGAAGGACUGAAAGAUGGUUUACGCUAUCACUUAUAGAUGGGCCCGCGGCGCAUUAGCUAGUUGGNGAGGUAACGGCUCACCAAGGC